UGGGGAAUAUUGGACAAUGGGGGCAACCCUGAUCCAGCCAUGCCGCGUGUGUGAAGAAGGCCUUUUGGUUGUAAAGCACUUUAAGCAGGGAGGAGAGGCUAAUGGUUAAUACCCAUUAGAUUAGACGUUACCUGCAGAAUAAGCACCGGCUAACUCUGUGCCAGCAGCCGCGGUAAUACAGAGGGUGCGAGCGUUAAUCGGAAUUACUGGGCGUAAAGCGAGUGUAGGUGGCUCAUUAAGUCACAUGUGAAAUCCCCGGGCUUAACCUGGGAACUGCAUGUGAUACUGGUGGUGCUAGAAUAUGUGAGAGGGAAGUAGAAUUCCCAGGUGUAGCGGUGAAAUGCGUAGAGAUCUGGAGGAAUACCGAUGGCGAAGGCAGCUUCCUGGCAUAAUAUUGACACUGAGAUUCGAAAGCGUGGGUAGCAAAACAGGAUUAGAUACCCUGGUAGUCCACGCCGUAAACGAUGUCUACUAGCCGUUGGGGUCCUUGAGACUUUAGUGGCGCAGUUAACGCGAUAAGUAGACCGCCUGGGGGAGUGACGGCCGCAAGGUUAAAAACC
RNAcentral lists this ribosomal RNA (560 nucleotides) under uncultured bacterium. RNAcentral's name for it is "partial 16S ribosomal RNA". It matches the Rfam family "Bacterial small subunit ribosomal RNA", at positions 355 to 901 of the family's 1533-position model. The record is from RNAcentral.